Molecule: RNA transcript, 3284 nt
Organism: Arabidopsis lyrata subsp. lyrata
Lineage: Eukaryota; Viridiplantae; Streptophyta; Magnoliopsida; Brassicales; Brassicaceae
Gene name: valine--tRNA ligase, mitochondrial 1
Exons: 2
Source: RefSeq, a predicted model, not a curated record
UAUUUACUAAUCAAAGCUCAAAUAUUUAACACCCGUAACCGUGAUAUAAUAAUAGGGAUAUAUAGAAUGUGCUAAAAUAAAAGCUCAAUUUGGCGGCCCAUUUACGUUACAGGGCCCUGAAGGACCGACUAUGUGUGUUGUAUAUAUCAGGCGUCGGCAGCUCAUCAGUUGAUCGAAUUUUGGGGCAAUCGAUUUACGUUGCGGAAACCCUAGAGAUGGAGCUGGAGAUGGAACGGAGAUUGAAGAAAGAACACAAUGCUAAAGUGAAAGCUCUGAAGAAACAAAAGGCUAUCGAGAAAGCAAAGCUGGGAGAAUUGAAUGCAAAAUCUAAAAAGAGCGCAGCGAAGAAGAUAGGAAAAGAGGAAGAGAAUCAUGCCGAUUUUUCUGACCCAGAAACUCCUAUUGGCGAGAGGAAAAGGCUAUCUUCACAGAUGGCCAAACAUUACAGUCCUUCAGCGGUGGAAAAAUCGUGGUAUGAAUGGUGGGAGACAUCUGAGUUUUUCAAGGCUGACGCGACUAGUUCCAAACCACAGUUUGUGAUUGUUCUUCCUCCUCCCAAUGUGACUGGCGCGUUGCACAUCGGCCACGCACUAACCUGUGCAGUCCAGGACACACUGAUUCGUUGGAAGAGAAUGUCUGGCUUUAAUGCUUUGUGGGUUCCUGGGUUUGACCAUGCUGGUAUUGCUACACAGGUUGUGGUCGAGAAACAUCUCAGCCGUGAAACAGGAUUGACAAGACAUGACUUUGGCCGUGAGGAGUUCUUGAACCAUGUCUGGCAGUGGACAGAGAGUAAAAGUGGUACAAUCAAAUCACAGCUACGUCGUAUGGGCUCAUCUCUUGAUUGGUCCCGUGAGUGUUUUACCAUGGACGAGCACAGAUCAAAGGCUGUCACUGAGGCCUUUGUAAGGUUACACAAGGAAGGGCUUAUCUACAGGGAUCUCCGGCUUGUUCAUUGGGACUGCUUCCUUAGCACCGCCAUAUCUAAGCGUGAGGUUGAGCAUAUCGAGAUCAAAGAAAGAACACCAAUCAAAGUCCCUGGGUAUGAGAAGCCAGUUGUAUUUGGUCUUAUCACUUCGUUUGCUUACCCUCUUGAGAGAGGAGGCGGUGAGGUUGUUGUUGCCACUACUAGGGUGGAAACUAUGCUUGGUGAUACCGCCAUUGCUGUUCAUCCCGAUGAUGCAAGAUACAAGCAUCUUCACGGAGAGUUUGCUGUGCACCCGUUCAAUGGGCGGAAGCUACCAAUCAUCUGUGAUGAGAUACUCGUUGACCCAAAUGUUGGUACUGGUUGUGUUAAGAUCACUCCAGCACAUGACACCAAUGAUUUCGAUGUAGGAAGGCGCCACAAUCUGGAGUUUAUAAACGUAUUCACUAAUGAUGGAAGGAUCAAUGCGAAUGGCGGGCCUGACUUCACUGGCAUGCCACGCUUUGCCGCUCGUGAAGCUAUCGUUGAAGCUCUGCGUAAGAAGGGGCUGUACAGAGGUGAGGAAAACAACAAGAUGACAAUUGGAGUUUGCUCAAGAAGUAGUGAUGUUGCUGAGCCUAUGCUAAAGCCUCAGUGGUACGUGAGUUGCAGCCUGAUGGCAAAGGAGGCUCUUGAUGUUGCUGCCAACGGGAAGAUUGAGUUUAUUCCCAAGCAGUACUCUGCAGAAUGGAGAAGAUGGCUAGAGAGCAUAUGCGACUGGUGCAUCUCCCGACAGCUUUGGUGGGGUCACAGAAUACCGGCAUGGUACGCCACUCUAGAAGAAGAUCAUCUUAAGGAAACAGGUGCCUACAACGACCAUUGGGUCGUUGCCAGAAACGAGGAAGAUGCUCAAAAAGAGGCUGCACAAAAAUUUUCUGGGAAGAAGUUGUUGGAGCUCUCCCAAGAUCCUGAUGUGCUUGACACUUGGUUUUCCUCUGGUCUCUUUCCCUUAUCUGUUUUGGGAUGGCCUGAUGAAACCGAGGACUUCAAAGCUUUCUAUCCAGCGUCUGUUCUUGAAACUGGACAUGACAUUCUGUUUUUCUGGGUUGCUCGCAUGGUUAUGUUAGGAAUGAAAGUGGGUGGUGGGGAUGUUCCUUUCAGGAAGGUUUUUUUGCAUCCCAUGAUACGUGAUGCACAUGGCCGCAAGAUGUCAAAGUCUCUUGGAAAUGGCAUUGAUCCGCUUGAAGUCAUUAACGGUGUAACUCUCGCAGGUCUACACGCCAGGUUAGAAGAAGGUAACCUGGAUCCCAAGGAGCUGGUUGUUGCCAAGGAGGGACAGGUGAAGGAUUUUCCAAAUGGUAUCCCUGAAUGUGGCGCUGACUCUCUUCGAUUUGCCCUUGUAUCUUACACGGCCCAGUCUGAUAAAAUCAACAUGGAUGUCCUCCGAGUUGUUGGUUACCGCCAGUGGUGUAAUAAACUGUGGAACGCCGUCAGAUUUGCGAUGAUGAAGCUUGGUGAUGGCUAUACUCCUCCUUCACAAGCUCUAAGCCCUAGAGCCAUGCCCUUCAGCUGCCAAUGGAUCCUCUCUGUACUAAAUACGGCAAUAUCAAAGACUGUGGAUUCCUUGAAUGCUUUUGAGUUAUCGGAUGCAGCCAACACGGUGUAUGCCUGGUGGCAAUACCAAUUCUGUGAUGUAUUUAUCGAAGCAGUUAAGCCUUAUUUUUCUGCUGAAAACCCAGGCAGGACCCAUGCACAAGACGCUCUCUGGGUGUGUCUCGAGACUGGCUUGCGAUUGCUGCAUCCGUUUAUGCCUUUUGUAACAGAAGAGCUGUGGCAGCGGUUGCCGUCACCGCAAGACUGUGAACGGAAGGCGUCUAUCAUGAUAUGUGACUACCCUUCUCCCGAAGAGAAGUGGACAAAUGAGAAGGUGGAGACCGAAAUGGACGUGGUUCUGGUGACCGUGAAAACUCUCAGAGCUUUGAGAGCUGCAGAGUCGCUAAAGAGACGGAUAAAUGAAAGGUUGCAUGCGUUUGCUCUGUGCGAAAACGCAUUGACACUGGGAAUUGUGCAAUCCCAUGAGUUGGAGAUCAGAACUCUGGCAAAUCUCUCAUCCUUUGAGGUUGUGUUGAAGGGAGAAGACAAAGCAGCCCAAUCUGGAUCGGCUGUUGUAGAGACAGUUCGAGAACCUCAAGGUGUAUCUAAAAUUGGAUGGAGCUUCCAUUAAUGCGGAGCUGAGUCUGAGAAAAACAGAAACAAGAUUAUAGAAGUACAAAAGCAAUAGGAGAAGUUGCAGAAGGUAAUGGGGGUGACUGGGUACGAAGACAAGGUCCCUGCAAACAUUAGGGAAGACAACAUGAGGAAGCUCACUGUUAUUCAAACUUAA